Molecule: ribosomal RNA, 465 nt
Filed under: uncultured bacterium
Lineage: Bacteria
Description: partial 16S ribosomal RNA
Rfam family: Bacterial small subunit ribosomal RNA
Source: RNAcentral
GACGAACGCUGGCGGCGUGCUUAACACAUGCAAGUCGUACGGUAAGGCCCUUUCGGGGGUACACGAGUGGCGAACGGGUGAGUAACACGUGAGUAACCUGCCCACAACUUUGGGAUAACGCUAGGAAACUGGUGCUAAUACUGUAUAUGUGCUCCUGCUGCAUGGUGGGGGUUGGAAAGCUCCGGCGGUUGUGGAUGGACUCGCGGCCUAUCAGCUUGUUGGUGGGGUAGUGGCCUACCAAGGCGGCGACGGGUAGCCGGCCUGAGAGGGUGACCGGCCACAGUGGGACUGAGAGACGGCCCAGACUCCUACGGGAGGCAGCAGUGGGGAAUAUUGCACAAUGGGCGCAAGCCUGAUGCAGCAACGCCGCGGGCGGGAUGACGGCCUUCGGGUUGUAAACCGCGUUCAGCAGGGACGAAGCUUUUUGUGACGGUACCUGCAGAAGAAGCACCGGCUAACUACGUG